UACGUAGGGUGCGAGCGUUGUCCGGAAUUAUUGGGCGUAAAGAGCUCGUAGGCGGUCUGUCGCGUCUGCUGUGAAAACCCGAGGCUCAACCUCGGGCCUGCAGUGGGUACGGGCAGACUAGAGUGCGGUAGGGGAGAAUGGAAUUCCUGGUGUAGCGGUGGAAUGCGCAGAUAUCAGGAGGAACACCGAUGGCGAAGGCAGUUCUCUGGGCCGUAACUGACGCUGAGGAGCGAAAGCGUGGGGAGCGAACAGGAUUAGAUACCCUGGUAGUCCACGCCGUAAACGUUGGGCGCUAGAUGUGGGGACCAUUCCACGGUUUCCGUGUCGCAGCUAACGCAUUAAGCGCCCCGCCUGGGGAGUACGGCCGCAAGGCUAAA
This 377-nucleotide ribosomal RNA is filed under the name uncultured bacterium. RNAcentral's name for it is "bacterial SSU rRNA". It matches the Rfam family "Bacterial small subunit ribosomal RNA", at positions 524 to 898 of the family's 1533-position model. The record is from RNAcentral.